UCCGUAGGUGAACCUGCGGAAGGAUCAUUAAAGUUUGCUUAAUUGCAUCACACAUGUUUUUAUAGAGAACUUGCUUGCAAGAACACUAAUAAUUUACUGAGUCAACUUGAAAAAAAUAUCAAAACUUUCAACAACGGAUCUCUUGGUUCUCGCAUCGAUGAAGAACGCAGCGAAAUGCGAUACGUAAUAUGAAUUGCAGAUUUUCGUGAAUCAUCGAAUCUUUGAACGCACAUUGCGCCCUGUGGUAUUCCACAGGGCAUGCCUGUUUGAGCGUCAUUUCUCCCUCAAACCUCUGGUUUGGCGUUGAGUGAUACUCGGUUUACUUGAAAAAUAUGAAAAGCAUAACUAUUAGGUUUUACCAACUCGUUAUACUAAUCUACAAGUUUGACCUCAAAUCAGGUAGGACUACCCGCUGAACUUAAGCAUAUCAAUAAGCGGAGGAA
This 443-nucleotide ribosomal RNA is filed under the name [Candida] sp. NG_31. Its description in RNAcentral is "eukaryotic LSU rRNA". The stretch from base 123 to 276 matches the Rfam family "5.8S ribosomal RNA". The record is from RNAcentral. Lineage: Eukaryota; Fungi; Ascomycota; Saccharomycetes; Saccharomycetales.